UGAGGAAUAUUGGUCAAUGGGCGAGAGCCUGAACCAGCCAAGUCGCGUGAAGGAUGAAGGUUCUAUGGAUUGUAAACUUCUUUUGUCCGAGGGUAAAAAAGGCCACGUGUGGCUUCUUGCAAGUAUCGGACGAAUAAGCAUCGGCUAACUCCGUGCCAGCAGCCGCGGUAAUACGGAGGAUGCAAGCGUUAUCCGGAUUUAUUGGGUUUAAAGGGUGCGUAGGCGGAUGGGUAAGUCAGCGGUGAAAUGUCCCGGCUCAACCGGGGAACUGCCAUUGAUACUGCCUGUCUUGAAUGCGGAUGCCGUGGGAGGAAUGUGUAGUGUAGCGGUGAAAUGCAUAGAUAUUACACAGAACACCGAUUGCGAAGGCAUCUCACGAAUCCGUUAUUGACGCUGAGGCACGAAAGCGUGGGGAUCAAACAGGAUUAGAUACCCUGGUAGU
RNAcentral lists this ribosomal RNA (442 nucleotides) under uncultured Porphyromonadaceae bacterium. RNAcentral's name for it is "bacterial SSU rRNA". It matches the Rfam family "Bacterial small subunit ribosomal RNA", at positions 355 to 794 of the family's 1533-position model. Lineage: Bacteria; Pseudomonadati; Bacteroidota; Bacteroidia; Bacteroidales; Porphyromonadaceae. The record is from RNAcentral.